Long non-coding RNA from Dama dama (fallow deer), 551 nucleotides. RefSeq lists it as uncharacterized. The transcript is spliced from 3 exons. Lineage: Eukaryota; Metazoa; Chordata; Mammalia; Artiodactyla; Cervidae. The record is from RefSeq and is a predicted model, not a curated record.
GGGCCGCGGGCGGGGCGAGGAGCAGGGACCAGGAGCCAGGAAGAGCGGAAAGAGAAGGGCGGAAAUUGCAGGUGCCGCGUUUACGUGCCAACCUAAAACGGUAGGGCCUCCACCCAGUCAACUUCAGGAAGUUCAAAGACAUGCAUUCACUGUGUGAAAUGUCUUUGAUCCGUCUUCCUUUAGGUUUGGACAAAUGUGUGAUGACAUAUGGGCUUCUCCGCUGGCUCAACGCUAAAGAAUCUGCUUGCCAAUGCAGGAGACCUGGGUUGGAUCCCUGGGUCAGGAAUAUCCCCUGGAGAAGAAAAUGACAACCCAUUCCACUCUUCUCACCUGGGAAAUCCCAAGGACUGGCAGGCUACAAUUCAUGGGUCACAAAAGAGUCAGAUAUGACUUAGCAACUAAACAACAACAGCAAAUUAUAACAUAUAUCCAUCAUUAUAGUGUCAUACAAGGCUAAUAUAGUCAGAAGACUUCAGACUUGGUCAAUUAAAAAAUGAAUAAGCAACAACUGUAAGAAGCCCAAGCAACAACUGUAAGAAUAUUUAAAUUGG